This 96-nucleotide transfer RNA is filed under the name Acidimicrobiaceae bacterium. RNAcentral describes it as "tRNA-Sec". It matches the Rfam family "Selenocysteine transfer RNA". The record is from RNAcentral. Lineage: Bacteria; Bacillati; Actinomycetota; Acidimicrobiia; Acidimicrobiales; Acidimicrobiaceae.
GGAGGUGUCUGGGCACCUGGUGGGCCCCACCGCCUUCAAAGCGGCUGGCUGCGGCGAUCCCGCAGCGGCGGGUUCGAUUCCCGUCCACCUCCGCCA